GGCGAGUGGCGAACGGGUGAGUAAUACAUCGGAACGUGCCCUGUAGUGGGGGAUAACUAGUCGAAAGAUUAGCUAAUACCGCAUACGACCUGAGGGUGAAAGUGGGGGACCGCAAGGCCUCAUGCUAUAGGAGCGGCCGAUGUCUGAUUAGCUAGUUGGUGGGGUAAAGGCCCACCAAGGCGACGAUCAGUAGCUGGUCUGAGAGGACGAUCAGCCACACUGGGACUGAGACACGGCCCAGACUCCUACGGGAGGCAGCAGUGGGGAAUUUUGGACAAUGGGCGAAAGCCUGAUCCAGCAAUGCCGCGUGUGUGAAGAAGGCCUUCGGGUUGUAAAGCACUUUUGUCCGGAAAGAAAUGGCUCUGGUUAAUACCUGGGGUCGAUGACGGUACCGGAAGAAUAAGGACCGGCUAACUACGUGCCAGCAGCCGCGGUAAUACGUAGGGUCCACGCCGUUAAUCGGAAUUACUGGGCGUAAAGCGUGCGCAGGCGGUUGUGCAAGACCGAUGUGAAAUCCCCGAGCUUAACUUGGGAAUUGCAUUGGUGACUGCACGGCUAGAGUGUGUCAGAGGGGGGUAGAAUCCACGUGUAGCAGUGAAAUGCGUAGAGAUGUGGAGGAAUACCGAUGGCGAAGGCAGCCCCCUGGGAUAACACUGACGCUCAUGCACGAAAGCGUGGGGAGCAAACAGGAUUAGGUACCCUGGUAGUCCACGCCCUAAACGAUGUCAACUAGUUGUUGGGGAUUCAUUUCCUUAGUAACGUAGCUAACGCGUGAAGUUGACCGCCUGGGGAGUACGGUCGCAAGAUUAAAACUCAAAGGAAUUGACGGGGACCCGCACAAGCGGUGGAUGAUGUGGAUUAAUUCGAUGCAACGCGAAAAACCUUACCUACCCUUGACAUGCCACUAACGAAGCAGAGAUGCAUUAGGUGCUCGAAAGAGAAAGUGGACACAGGUGCUGCAUGGCUGUCGUCAGCUCGUGUCGUGAGAUGUUGGGUUAAGUCCCGCAACGAGCGCAACCCUUGUCUCUAGUUGCUACGAAAGGGCACUCUAGAGAGACUGCCGGUGACAAACCGGAGGAAGGUGGGGAUGACGUCAAGUCCUCAUGGCCCUUAUGGGUAGGGCUUCACACGUCAUACAAUGGUGCAUACAGAGGGUUGCCAAGCCGCGAGGUGGAGCUAAUCCCAGAAAAUGCAUCGUAGUCCGGAUCGUAGUCUGCAACUCGACUACGUGAAGCUGGAAUCGCUAGUAAUCGCGGAUCAGCAUGCCGCGGUGAUACGUUCCCGGGUCUUGUACACACCGCCCGUCACACCAUGGGAGUGGGCUUUACCAGAAGUAGUUAGCCUAACCGCAAGGAGGGCG
This 1360-nucleotide ribosomal RNA is filed under the name uncultured Ralstonia sp. RNAcentral's name for it is "16S ribosomal RNA". It matches the Rfam family "Bacterial small subunit ribosomal RNA", at positions 90 to 1452 of the family's 1533-position model. The record is from RNAcentral. Lineage: Bacteria; Pseudomonadati; Pseudomonadota; Betaproteobacteria; Burkholderiales; Burkholderiaceae.